RNAcentral lists this ribosomal RNA (452 nucleotides) under uncultured bacterium. RNAcentral describes it as "bacterial SSU rRNA". It matches the Rfam family "Bacterial small subunit ribosomal RNA", at positions 335 to 795 of the family's 1533-position model. The record is from RNAcentral.
ACUCCUACGGGAGGCAGCAGUGGGGAAUAUUGCACAAUGGGCGCAAGCCUGAUGCAGCGACNCCNCGUGCGGGAUGACGGCCUUCGGGUUGUAAACCGCUUUUGACUGGGAGCAAGCCCUUCGGGGUGAGUGUACCUUUCGAAUAAGCACCGGCUAACUACGUGCCAGCAGCCGCGGUAAUACGUAGGGUGCAAGCGUUAUCCGGAAUUAUUGGGCGUAAAGGGCUCGUAGGCGGUUCGUCGCGUCCGGUGUGAAAGUCCAUCGCUUAACGGUGGAUCCGCGCCGGGUACGGGCGGGCUUGAGUGCGGUAGGGGAGACUGGAAUUCCCGGUGUAACGGUGGAAUGUGUAGAUAUCGGGAAGAACACCAAUGGCGAAGGCAGGUCUCUGGGCCGUCACUGACGCUGAGGAGCGAAAGCGUGGGGAGCGAACAGGAUUAGAUACCCUGGUAGUC